This 375-nucleotide ribosomal RNA is filed under the name uncultured Acidobacteriota bacterium. RNAcentral describes it as "bacterial SSU rRNA". It matches the Rfam family "Bacterial small subunit ribosomal RNA", at positions 522 to 895 of the family's 1533-position model. Lineage: Bacteria; Pseudomonadati; Acidobacteriota. The record is from RNAcentral.
AAUACGGAGGGGGCCAGCGUUGCUCGGAAUUACUGGGCGUAAAGGGCGCGUAGGCGGCCGCGCAAGUCGGAGGUGAAAUCCCCCGGCUCAACCGGGGAAUGGCCUCCGAUACUGCGCGGCUCGAGUCCCGGAGAGGGUGGUGGAAUUCCCAGUGUAGCGGUGAAAUGCGUAGAUACUGGGAGGAACACCGGUGGCGAAGGCGGCCACCUGGACGGGUACUGACGCUGAGGCGCGAAAGCUAGGGGAGCAAGCAGGAUUAGAUACCCUGGUAGUCCUAGCCGUAAACGAUGGGCACUUGGUGUUGCGGGUAUCGACCCCCGCAGUGCCGAAGCUAACGCGUUAAGUGCCCCGCCUGGGGAGUACGGUCGCAAGGCU